UAACUGUGUGUGUAUAUGUGGCACUAUGUUAAAGACAGAGACAUGAAAAUAGUAGCCCCCCAUUUUAUUUUAUGCUCAGAGACACUUUCGUUUAGUAGGCCACUGUAAUGUCAGUUUUACUGUUGUAUAAGUUCCACCAGCAGAGGGCGCUCAGUCCUGUACGCAUCGGUAGCUGACGCUACACUAGAAGAAGUAGUGUCAGUGGUGAAGAGGCAGCGUACGGCCCGCGCGCCGAAAGAACUGAUUAAUCAGACAUUUUUCUGUCUUUACAGACGGAGCCACCAGAUCCUGACGUCGUGAGUACCUGCACUGCAACCACCGUUUCUAGCGAAGCGAGGAAAAGCCCAGAGUCGUACAUUCGCCUACUGGCCAGUGUCUUAUACAGGUCCACGACGCCAGGUUCUCGGUGACGCUGGGAAAAAGAACACAGCGCAACAUUGAAGGCUGCUUUGCCGGCCCUGAAAGCCGAGGCUGACCUGGACUCCUGCUCUCCCCUCUACCACCUUCGACGUGACCCUGACCAAAUGCUGCAGCAGCUGGACUUACAAAAACAAUUUCCUGAAAAUGUCAACAGGGCUGCAGAAAAGCGAUCUUAUGCAGCGGAGACGGAGAGCGUUAAAACCAAGGCCCGUUUCACUACACGGGGGAAAAUUCUCAGACAGCUUCAGCUGACAGAGCUGUGACGAGACGCCUGCCAAGCCGAAUGACAAGUAAGGCCGAGCAAAAGAAUGCUGACCUUAACAAUUCUGCAUUAACAGUGAUGGACCAACACGGCAGCAAAAAGGGCGUGCCAGAGACAGGAGGAGCAACUGAGGUCGAAUGGACAAAACACAGAAGAAGAUGCAGUUUUCACCUGCGGUGAGCAUGGACACUGGAGAAAAGGACUGUCCCAAUUGGGGUCAGAACCAGGACAAACUGAACUUUGAACAGCAGCAAUGGUGGCAAGCGGACUGAAAAGGAGGAGGGCAGGACCCCAGGGCACGCUUCAGGCUGUGGUUUACCCAAGACACCAGAACAGGAAAGUGAUGAACACACACACAUCUAUAUACACCGAUUCAGAAUGAAGUGAAAUAUACACAUGAACACAUGUGCACUCGUUGAUAGAGGGAGAAAUGGCACACACACACGCUUAUGCAAUGAAGAAUGCUUUGCUCGCAAAUGCUUAUGCUCAUGCAAAAUGCUGCACACAAACAUCCCAAUACAUAAUUUUUAUGAGAAGCAAUUGACUGCUUAAAAUGUGUUUUAUGUCACCCAGAGGAUAUUUAUGUAGAUUUAAGUAACAAGGUCUAAAAUUGUCCGGUUAUGAAAACAAUGUCUGUGCGUGAGGUCUGUUUAUGGCUCAAGGUCUUGAUUGAAUUGUCUAUUGUGCUACACACUUCGUAAAUGAAGUAAUAUCAAAAGUCUCUGAAGCACUGGGCUUCAGUAUAAAACAUCACUUCUCAUAUCACCCGCAGAGUACCCAUUACAAGUGAACCGAUAGACAAAUCCAUAAGAGAAACAAAACUAGCAGAAUGGAUGACAAAACUGUUAGAAAACAAAGAAAUAGUUUUGAACAAUCAACUGCCAGAUGAUUCUCUUCCAGUCUCUUCCAGGUUGAAACCAGGAGAUUGGAUCCUGAUAAAAGUGCUCCAGAGGGAAAAGUGGAGCUCCCCGAGGUGGGAAGGACCCUACCAAGUCCUCCUGGCCACACCAACAGCCUGCAAAAUUGCUGAACGACCUUCCUGGAUUCAUCAGAGCCACUGUAAAAAAGUGAGUGACAGCCCAUAGACACUAAGACGCCAGCACCCCUGCCUGUCAGUGACCUGGGAGGUGGAGAGAGGGCUGUUUGGGUAAAUCCCGCCCUUGUUCUUCUCGCCCCUAGUCUACUCUAGAGAUGGCACGAUACCACUUUUUUAUGUCCGAUACCGAUACCGAUAUCAUAAAUUUGGAUAUCUGCCGAUACCGAUAUUAAUCCGAUAUAGUGUGUUUUUUAAUCAAUAAAACUGUUUUUUUAA
Molecule: long non-coding RNA, 1994 nt
Organism: Oreochromis aureus
Lineage: Eukaryota; Metazoa; Chordata; Actinopteri; Cichliformes; Cichlidae
Exons: 3
Source: RefSeq, a predicted model, not a curated record